RNAcentral lists this ribosomal RNA (468 nucleotides) under uncultured bacterium. RNAcentral's name for it is "partial 16S ribosomal RNA". It matches the Rfam family "Bacterial small subunit ribosomal RNA", at positions 28 to 507 of the family's 1533-position model. The record is from RNAcentral.
GACGAACGCUGGCGGCGUGCUUAACACAUGCAAGUCGAACGGAAAGUCCCUGCUUGUGUGGGGUGCUCGAGUGGCGAACGGGUGAGUAACACGGGAGUAACCUGGCCUUGGCUUUGUGAUAACUUCAGGAAGCUGGGGCUAGUACCUGAUAGGUGCUCCUGCUUCAUGGUGUGGGUUGGAAAGUUUCGGCGGUUAGGGAUGUACUCGCGGCUUAUCAGCUUGUGGGUGGGGUAGUGGCUUACCAAGGCUUUGACGGGUAGCCGGCCUGAGAGGGGAGCCGGCAACAUUGGGACUGAGCUACGGCACAGUCUACUAUGGGAGGCAGCAGUGGGGAAGCUUGUACAACGGGAGGAAGCAUGAUGAAGCAACGCCGCGUGUGGGAAGCCGGCUUUCGGGUUGUAAACCGCAUUAGCCUGUGACGAAGCGUGAGUGACGGUACUGGGUAAAGAAGCACCGGCUAACUACGUG